Molecule: unclassified non-coding RNA, 240 nt
Filed under: soil metagenome
Description: partial contains 5.8S ribosomal RNA, internal transcribed spacer 2, and large subunit ribosomal RNA
Rfam family: 5.8S ribosomal RNA (bases 1-115)
Source: RNAcentral
GAUGAAGAACGUAGCGAACCGCGAUAUUUCUUGUGAAUUGCAGAAGUGAAUCAUCAGUUUUUGAACGCACAUUGCACUUUGGGGUAUCCCCCAAAGUAUACUUGUUUGAGCGUUGUUUCUCUCUUGGAAUUGCUUUGCUCUUCUAAAAUUUCGAAUCAAAUUCGUUUGAAAAACAACACUAUUCAACCUCAGAUCAAGUAGGAUUACCCGCUGAACUUAAGCAUAUCAAUAAGCGGAGGA